RNAcentral lists this long non-coding RNA (1596 nucleotides) under Catharus ustulatus (Swainson's thrush). Its description in RNAcentral is "lncRNA (ENSCUSG00005000386.1)". The record is from RNAcentral. Lineage: Eukaryota; Metazoa; Chordata; Aves; Passeriformes; Turdidae.
AUGACAAAAAUGGCAAUUCUUGCGGCCAGUUCUGGUAUGGAGGUUGUAAUGGUAACAACAAUAGAUUUGAAACAGAAAAAGAAUGUCAAGAAACCUGUGUUGAUUGAUGAACAAAAAUUACUUCUGUUGGGAACUUUUGAAACUGGAAGUUCAUGUGUACUGAGGAAGAACUGACUGAGAAGAAUCCAAUAUGAUGUGUUACCUUGGAAUUAUUACUGCUGUGCUUUAUUUGUUUCACCACUAUGGUCGGCACAUUAACCAGAUUCCUGCAUAAUGCAUCUUAACUGCAACACCAUAGCAAUAACUUAUAAUUACACAUAUGCACACACAGAAAGAUAUCUUUUCCUUCCAAAUUUACGUAAUUUGAUACUGCUGCACAUGGGAAUAAUGAGAUUCUAUUUUUAUUAUUAAAAUGUCAAAAGUGUUUACACUUAAUUUUUAAUGACAGAAGUUUCCUAGGCUCAUGGAAGAAUAAAAUAUCCUCCAGUUUUAAACAACAGUAAGUGGUUCCUGAAAUUAGCACUCUUAAUACAGCAUUUAGAGACAUAAAUAAAGAUUUGCAUUGAUUAGAGUUUCUCUUUGGAAUGUAAGUAACACAGUUAUAGGUAAUUAGAGAGGGGUUUUGUCCACUAUUAAAGCACACUUGCAUUACAUCAAUAUAAUAGUUUCAAUUAUAAAGGUUGGACUUAGAAUUACAUUAAAAACAGGGUUCUUCAUGUCCUUUAGGCUAAUCAGUACAUUUCAAUUUCUCAGGGCCUCUGGGUUUAAAAAAAAACAAAAAAAAAGUUAUUUCACUCUAAUACUCUAAUAUAUGCUACUAAACCAAAAAAGGGAAAAGCACUGAAAGAUGUAUGUUAAUGUUUACUUAUAUCCUUUGUACUUUUAGCCAUAACCCUGUAUGAGCACAUUGUUAAAACUGAAAAUUUAUAAAUAUGAUUAAAAUAGGAAUUAAUACCUGAUAAAGGGUCAAGCAUCAUUAUUUCUUAUUAUUUCUUUGUAAACAGAAGAAUAGAAUCUAUACAGGUGGUAUGGACAACUCUUGAAAUGUUCAAACAAUUUCUUGCACAAUUUGUAAAUAAAAGGAUGUACUUUGCAAAAUGAACUUGUUUGCAGCAAAUAGGAUGCAAACCUAAUUCUGUGGAAAAGUGUGCUUGAAGUAGAGUUUAAAAGUUUUUAAUAUUUUUUUCCCAAAAACCUGGCCUUUUAAAAUAAGUUUCAAGUUAGAAAUGGAAAAAAAUCUGAGACCAGCCCCAGAAAAUAUUCUGUUCUUAUACUCAGAAUUAAAAUGAUCAUAAUAUAAUAACAUGAUGAUCACUUAGCCUCUGAGGGCACAAAUAAUUUCUGCAUGACAUGAAACAGUAAAACUGAAAGGUAUUGCCUUGCACUAUGCAUACUAUGAAGAUGCCCUUAAUCCUACCAGGAACAUUUUACAUUUCACUGGACCUGGAAACUCUCAGCAGCAAAGCCCACUGGAAUUGUGAGAGAGACUAAGAAUCUGCAAGAUGUUUCAAAUCCUGCGUGCUUGUGCAAUUGCUUCAGGGAUAGGAUUAGCUGUGUGUUCAGCUCCAGAUCUCCAGAUGAAGGGAUGCAUCUGAG